ACCGACCGUUUGCACACCCCUAGUAAACACUAAUGCAUAUUAGACAAUAGUUAACUCUCAUAAAAUUCAGUUUAAUAAACAAGAAAGAAUUAUCAACUAACUAGCAUUUAUUUUAUAUUUCUUAUUAAAAAAAAUUCAAAAGAAGGAAAAUUUAAUUAUUUUUUAAGAAAAUAUUUUUUAUUAAAAUAUUUUUUUAUUAUUUAAUUACAAUGAUAAAUUA
Molecule: unclassified non-coding RNA, 220 nt
Filed under: Hevea brasiliensis (rubber tree)
Lineage: Eukaryota; Viridiplantae; Streptophyta; Magnoliopsida; Malpighiales; Euphorbiaceae
Source: RNAcentral